GCCCGGAGCGGAGUCGGGGAUUGGUCGGCCAGGCGCAGGACCGGGCCGGGGCCUGCGGUGCGAGGGCGCUGCAAGUGGCAAGUGGAAGCAUUGCAACUGCCCUACUUUCCUCAGGAUCCUCCCUGAACUUCCCCAACUCCUGGGCCAGGUGUGAGUUUAGCAUGGCAAAGAAGGGUCUUCUACUGGACACCCACACUACCAAGGUCAGAGGCAGGAAGCACAGAGGAUGGAGGUGAAUUUCAGCUCUAGCUCCAUGUCUCAACUGCCUAUUAUCAAUGUUAAUGUCAUUGACCAAAACCAGAAUCUGAGGAGCAAUCUCAUCAUCAGAAAAAAAUUUCUUACACCUUCCUGAAUGAUCAUUUUAUAGGAUUUUGGGGAAAAUGCUAAUAAAGACAAUAGUCAUCUA
Non-coding RNA from Sus scrofa (pig), 406 nucleotides. NCBI's taxonomy places the organism in Eukaryota, Metazoa, Chordata, Mammalia, Artiodactyla, Suidae. The record is from RefSeq and is a predicted model, not a curated record.